GACGAACGCUGGCGGCGUGCUUAACACAUGCAAGUCGAACGGAAAGGCCCUGCUUGCAGGGUACUCGAGUGGCGAACGGGUGAGUAACACGUGGGUGAUCUGCCCUGCACUUCGGGAUAAGCCUGGGAAACUGGGUCUAAUACCGGAUAGGAGCCAUUUUUAGUGUGAUGGUUGGAAAGUUUUUUCGGUGUAGGAUGAGCUCGCGGCCUAUCAGCUUGUUGGUGGGGUAAUGGCCUACCAAGGCGGCGACGGGUAGCCGGCCUGAGAGGGUGGACGGCCACAUGGGGACUGGGAUACGGCCCAGACUCCUACGGGGGGCAGCAGGGGGGAAUAUUGCACAAUGGGGGAAAGCCUGAGGGGGCGACGCCGGGUGGGGGAUGACGGCCUUCGGGUUUUAAACUCCUUUCGCUGGGGACGAAGCUUUUUGUGACGGUACCUAGAUAAGAAGCACCGGCUAACUACGU
RNAcentral lists this ribosomal RNA (464 nucleotides) under uncultured bacterium. RNAcentral describes it as "partial 16S ribosomal RNA". It matches the Rfam family "Bacterial small subunit ribosomal RNA", at positions 28 to 506 of the family's 1533-position model. The record is from RNAcentral.